Molecule: ribosomal RNA, 467 nt
Filed under: uncultured bacterium
Lineage: Bacteria
Description: partial 16S ribosomal RNA
Rfam family: Bacterial small subunit ribosomal RNA
Source: RNAcentral
GACGAACGCUGGCGGCGUGCUUAACACAUGCAAGUCGAGCGAGAAACUUCGGUUUCUAGCGGCGGACGGGUGAGUAACACGUGGGCAACCUGCCUCACAAUGGGGGCUAGCCUUCCGAAAGGAAGAUUAAUACCGCAUAACACAAAGGAAACGCAUGUUUCUUUUGCCAAAGAAUUUCGUUGUGAGAUGGGCCCGCGGCGCAUUAGCUUGUUGGUGAGGUAACGGCUCACCAAGGCGACGAUGCGUAGCCGACCUGAGAGGGUGAUCGGCCACAUUGGAACUGAGACACGGUCCAGACUCCUACGGGAGGCAGCAGUGGGGAAUAUUGCACAAUGGAGGAAACUCUGAUGCAGCAACGCCGCGUGAGUGAUGAAGGUCUUCGGAUUGUAAAGCUCUGUCUUCUGGGACGAUAAUGACGGUGCCAGAGGAGGAAGCCACGGCUAACUACGCGCCAGCCGCCGCCGUAA